Molecule: transfer RNA, 76 nt
Filed under: Sinorhizobium phage Phosso
Also listed under: 1 other name
Description: tRNA-Arg
Rfam family: tRNA
About the family: Transfer RNA (tRNA) molecules are approximately 80 nucleotides in length. Their secondary structure includes four short double-helical elements and three loops (D, anti-codon, and T loops).
Source: RNAcentral
GUGUCUGUAGCUCAACUGGAUGAGCACCACCCUACGAAGGUGACCGAUGUAGGUUCGACUCCUAUCAGACACGCCA